This 206-nucleotide ribosomal RNA is filed under the name uncultured bacterium. Its description in RNAcentral is "partial 16S ribosomal RNA". It matches the Rfam family "Bacterial small subunit ribosomal RNA", at positions 568 to 774 of the family's 1533-position model. The record is from RNAcentral.
CGCGCAGGUGGUUUCUUAAGUCUGAUGUGAAAGCCCACGGCUCAACCGUGGAGGGUCAUUGGAAACUGGGAGACUUGAGUGCAGAAGAGGAUAGUGGAAUUCCAAGUGUAGCGGUGAAAUGCGUAGAGAUUGGGAGGAACACCAGUGGCGAAGGCGACUUACUGGGCCGUAACUGACGCUGAGGCGCGAAAGCGUGGGAGCGAACA